GUCCCCGCGAGACGUCCUCCGGGGCCUCGGCGCUGGCCAGGGGACCGCUUGGCGCUGCCGGGCCUCCGCCACCCGAGCCGCGAGGCCCUCGGACCUAACCGGAGCCUGCCCAGAGCCCGAGCGCCGGCCGCCCCGCCGCGGAUGCAGCCCCGUGAGGAUGCUGGGACGUGGCUCCGAGCUUGGUGUUGGCCUGCCCGAGUGGUCCGCACUGGGAAAACAACACCAGGUGGCCCCACUCCGACCCGCCGGCUUGGUACUGGGCUUCCCGCCCGUUGAUGGGUUAGAAAACCGAGCUUCAGUGAUUUCCCCAGGCUCCCGAAUGGGGAACCGGGCCCGAGCUCAGACGCGCAGGCUUGGGAAGCCCGAGAUGACCUGCGGGUCGGAGGUGAUUCUUUGAGGAAAUCCAUCCCCCAGCCAUCCACCAGCCGCUUUCUUGGAUUUGGCCCAGGGACUUCGACCUGUCUGGCAACUGAACAUGGCAACUUCUACUCCAACGGGCCUGGCCCGAAUUGCCUUAUGAGUGAAGCCGAAGUCAUCCUUGACCCUGCUCUUUCAUCGUCUCCCAUCUUGGUUCUAAGUCACCUGCCAGCUGGUCAGCUGUCUUAAGAUUACUUCCUCCAGAUCACUUCUUCCUUUUCAUUCCACGGCAAGCACCAUCUGGGGUUAAUGGAGACAUCUCCCUAACUGGCCUUACUGCCCACUGGUCUGCUCCCACUCUUGUCCUCCUUGAAAAUAGACUAAGUGAAUUUUCCUAA
Long non-coding RNA from Canis lupus familiaris (dog), 755 nucleotides. RefSeq lists it as uncharacterized. The record is from RefSeq and is a predicted model, not a curated record. The transcript has 3 exons. NCBI's taxonomy places the organism in Eukaryota, Metazoa, Chordata, Mammalia, Carnivora, Canidae.